AGUAAUGUAUGGGGAUCUGCCUGAUGGCGGGGGAUAACUACUGGAAACGGUAGCUAAUACCGCAUAAUGUCUGCGGACCAAAGCGGGGGACCUCCGGGCCUCGCGCCAUCAGAUGAACCCAUAUGGGAUUAGCUUGUAGGUAAGGUAACGGCUUACCUAGGCGACGAUCCCUAGCUGGUCUGAGAGGAUGAUCAGCCACACUGGGACUGAGACACGGUCCAG
Molecule: ribosomal RNA, 222 nt
Filed under: uncultured bacterium
Lineage: Bacteria
Description: partial 16S ribosomal RNA
Rfam family: Bacterial small subunit ribosomal RNA
Source: RNAcentral